This 612-nucleotide long non-coding RNA is filed under the name Populus tremula. RNAcentral's name for it is "long non-coding RNA (PTRE_LNC000441)". The record is from RNAcentral. Lineage: Eukaryota; Viridiplantae; Streptophyta; Magnoliopsida; Malpighiales; Salicaceae.
UUUGUAGUUGUUUAACACUAAUGUGUGCUUUUCGUUGCUGGUUGACUCGCUAACUAAUGGAGAAAAUAAUACUUUAUCUGGAUCCCUUUUGUCCAACGGAAAGGUUGCGUAAAUGGAUUAACGUGUCCAGGUGUCCAUAAACUUCCUUUUUCUUUCCAUUUUGAAGCUCUCUCUCUCUCUUGUAAGGAAAAGAAAAAUGAGGGCCCAAUUAACUCAAAUUCGUAUGAUUCAUUUAUGAUCGAAGCUUACGUGAAAUAUGAAAAGGAGGAGACUUGAAGAAAGAGGGGCCUAGUUGCUCAAAAGUUCGAUCGGAGAAAUUAGAGGGUUAUUUGGUGAUGAUUGACACACACAAAAAAUCUUCGAAACCCAGUUCAUAUUUGGUUUGAUAUCACUAAAUGAAAAGGGGGUUUUGGAGAUAUUUCAGAUUGGGAGCUAAAAUGGGAGCAAAUGCAUAUCUUGAUUUAUUUAUCUUUCCAAUUCAUAUAUAAUAAAUUCUUUUACAAAGGAUGAAUUAAUGAAAUCCAAUCUCAAGUUUUUGUGAUGUAAGAAAUUGUUGAACUUGCAAUCUUUUCUUCAGAAAAAAAUGUGGUUGUCAUGUACGUAGUUGUGUUU